UGGAGACAGGCAAGAAAAGAGACAAGGAAGGCAGCUGGAAUUCUCUUUGACCAGCCUAGAGGCGAGGAAAGAAGCAGAAGCAGAGGUAGAAAAGGGAAAUGGAAACCUUACCCAACAUCAAGAAGCUGUGAAAUGACAGAGAUAUUCUUAUCCAAAAAUCAAAGGGCAGAAGAUAGGAGACGUGACCAGGAAAAACUAUUACCAAGAAAUAUGUUCUCAGUGUCAGAACUCAAUGGGCAUGUAGAUUGGAUGGACCAAUGAUGGGCCAACAGGC
RNAcentral lists this long non-coding RNA (274 nucleotides) under Gorilla gorilla gorilla (western lowland gorilla). RNAcentral describes it as "lncRNA (ENSGGOG00000044468.1)". Lineage: Eukaryota; Metazoa; Chordata; Mammalia; Primates; Hominidae. The record is from RNAcentral.